CUUCCUUUUCUUCCCUUCUUAACCCCUCCCCCCUCUAUCCUUUCUUCUUCCUUCCCUCCCUUUCCUCCCUCUCCUUUCCCUUCUCUCCCUACCGGCUGCCACUCCCCUCCCUGCCUACGCCGAGCUACCGUCGCCGCCAGCAGCCCCUUCCCUUCCACUGCGACGUCGAUAGAAGGAGGAAAGCCUCCCUCCUCGCCACCGAGCCGCUUCCGUCCUUCCUUGCUGUUGUCGAUGCUGGAAUCGAGCUCCCCACCACCGAAGGCCCCUGAAGCAAGCCUUCCCCGUUGUUUUCCCACCGCCAGCAGCUUCGGAGGAGCUUCAUCGAAGCAGCCCCUUCCCGGCCCCAAUCCGGUGCCUUCCGGUGAGUUUCCGGCCAAAACUCUUAUGUUUUCGGACUCCCCGUAACUCGAGCUCUACGUAGGCGCUUCCGUAUUCGAAUUUUGACACCGUUGGCAAAACUAGAUUCCGGAUCCGGUGUUUUUUCGGACGCUCAUAAUAUUUAAAUUUCAGCUCGAUAUAAUUUUAUUUAGAUCCUAAAAAUUAUGUUGUAAUUUUAUAAAAAUAUUGUUGCUAUUAAUUAUCAAUUAUGUAUAAUUUAAAGUUAAUUAGAUUUAAUUAAUUAUGAUUGUGGUGUGUUGCGGAGUCAGAAAAAUAAUGUUGUUUUGGUGGUCCGACUCUCGUUAAUUAAUCACAAAAUAUGUGAAGUGUUUCUAGCAGGUUUUGGACCCAUUGUACGGGGGUAAAUGUCUGUAUUUUAGAAGAGGGUCUGCCGAGUUUUCGACAGAAUUUUCGAGUCUAAAAUAAUUUUAGACAGUGUAAUCUAGGGGUCUAGGCCUAGAAAAAUAUAAGAAUGUCUAUUAACUGAGUGUUGUCGUGAAUAGAUAAUCCGUUCAUCCCCUGGCUCCACCUGAGGUGUAAGAGCGGAUUGCGGAGCGCGACAGAACUAUGAGUUAAAGUCAUAUAAUCGAUGUACUUUGACAUGUCUAGAUUUCAUGCAAUAUUUAAUGUUUAAUGUUUAUGUAUGAUUAUCAUUAUCGUUAUUUAUAAUAUUUUAAAUAAAUAUUAUUUUAAUACUAUUAUUAUUAUCGCUACUGAUAUUUUGCAUGUUUGUUUUAUCCGAUAUUACUAAAUUUUAUUUUUCAGUAUGAUAUUGAAUAAUUAUGUCAAUCUAUGAAUAUUCUAUUAUGGUUAUUAUAUAUAUGUUAUGAUUGUAACAAUGGGAUGAGGCUAUAGUAGAACAUGUCACCUAGUGGGUUGCAUCAGGACCGCGUGCACACCAGUAAUAAUAAAAAACACGUAACAAAGGUUAGUUGUGGAU
This 1318-nucleotide long non-coding RNA is filed under the name Ricinus communis (castor bean). Its description in RNAcentral is "long non-coding RNA (RCOM_LNC000972)". Lineage: Eukaryota; Viridiplantae; Streptophyta; Magnoliopsida; Malpighiales; Euphorbiaceae. The record is from RNAcentral.